Non-coding RNA from Odontomachus brunneus, 74 nucleotides. The record is from the annotation of a RefSeq genome assembly. Lineage: Eukaryota; Metazoa; Arthropoda; Insecta; Hymenoptera; Formicidae.
GCGUCAGGUAGCUCAGUGGUUUAGAGCAGUCGCCCGGUAAGCGAAAGACUCGGGUUCGAGUCCCGGCUUUAGCA